CGGGUAAUUCCGGGCAGGAGGCGGGGGUAAUACGGAGGGUGCAAGCGUUAGUCGGAAUUACUGGGCGUAAAGGGCGUGUAGGCGGGAAUAGAAGUCAGACGUGAAAGUCCGGGGCUCAACCUCGGGGCUGCAUCUGAAACUAUAUUCCUUGAGGAAAGGCGGAGAAAACGGAAUUCCACAUGUAGCGGUGAAAUGCGUAGAUAUGUGGAGGAACACCUGUGGCGAAAGCGGUUUUCUAGCUUAAUCCUGACGCUGAGGCGCGAAAGCAAGGGGAGCAAACAGGAUUAGAUACCCUGUAGUC
RNAcentral lists this ribosomal RNA (301 nucleotides) under uncultured archaeon. RNAcentral describes it as "bacterial SSU rRNA". It matches the Rfam family "Bacterial small subunit ribosomal RNA", at positions 494 to 795 of the family's 1533-position model. The record is from RNAcentral.